UCUUUCGUAGUCCAAUGAAAGGAUAUCUCCCUGCGAAGGAGAAGAUCGGAGUUUAAUUCUCCGCGAAAGAA
This 71-nucleotide transfer RNA is filed under the name Yasminevirus sp. GU-2018. It matches the Rfam family "tRNA". From Rfam's summary of the family: Transfer RNA (tRNA) molecules are approximately 80 nucleotides in length. Their secondary structure includes four short double-helical elements and three loops (D, anti-codon, and T loops). Further hydrogen bonds mediate the characteristic L-shaped molecular structure. tRNAs have two regions of fundamental functional importance: the anti-codon, which is responsible for specific mRNA codon recognition, and the 3' end, to which the tRNAs corresponding amino acid is attached (by aminoacyl-tRNA synthetases). tRNAs cope with the degeneracy of the genetic code in two manners: having more than one tRNA (with a specific anti-codon) for a particular amino acid; and 'wobble' base-pairing, i.e. permitting non-standard base-pairing at the 3rd anti-codon position. Lineage: Varidnaviria; Bamfordvirae; Nucleocytoviricota; Megaviricetes; Imitervirales; Mimiviridae. The record is from Rfam by way of RNAcentral.